RNAcentral lists this ribosomal RNA (656 nucleotides) under Australobius scabrior. Its description in RNAcentral is "eukaryotic LSU rRNA". It matches the Rfam family "Eukaryotic large subunit ribosomal RNA", at positions 666 to 1266 of the family's 3401-position model. The record is from RNAcentral. Lineage: Eukaryota; Metazoa; Arthropoda; Chilopoda; Lithobiomorpha; Lithobiidae.
CCAAGGAGUCUAACAUGUGUGCGAGUCGUAGGGAAAGUCUGAUAUGAAACCCGAAGGCGUAAUGAAAGUGAAGGUUGACUUAUUGUUGACCAAGGCGGGAUCCAUUCGAGCUUAACGGUUCGGCCGAGCUUGGUGGCGCACCGCCGGCCCGUCUCAACCGCAACGCCGGUGAGGCGGAGCAAGAGCAUACACGUUGGGACCCGAAAGAUGGUGAACUAUGCCCGGGCAGGACGAAGCCAGAGGAAACUCUGGUGGAGGUCCGUAGCGAUUCUGACGUGCAAAUCGAUCGUCGGACCUGGGUAUAGGGGCGAAAGACUAAUCGAACCGUCUAGUAGCUGGUUCCCUCCGAAGUUUCCCUCAGGAUAGCUGGCGCUCGGAUGUAACGCAGUCUCAUCCGGUAAAGCGAAUGAUUAGAGGCCUUGGGGCCGAAACGACCUCAACCUAUUCUCAAACUUUCAAUGGGUGAGAAGUCCGGCUUGCUCGACUGAAGCCCGGACGUCGGAUGCGAGUGCCCAGUGGGCCACUUUUGGUAAGCAGAACUGGCGCUGUGGGAUGAACCAAACGCCGGGUUACGGCGCCCGAUGCGGACGCUCAUCAGACCCCAUGAAAGGUGUUGGUUGCUAUUGACAGCAGGACGGUGGCCAUGGAAGUCGGAA